RNAcentral lists this ribosomal RNA (468 nucleotides) under uncultured bacterium. RNAcentral's name for it is "partial 16S ribosomal RNA". It matches the Rfam family "Bacterial small subunit ribosomal RNA", at positions 28 to 507 of the family's 1533-position model. The record is from RNAcentral.
GACGAACGCUGGCGGCGUGCUUAACACAUGCAAGUCGAACGGCAAGGCCCUGCUUUUGUGGGGUGCUCGAGUGGCGAACGGGUGAGUAACACGUGAGUAACCUGCCCUUGACUUUGGGAUAACUUCAGGAAACUGGGGCUAAUACCGGAUAGGAGCCCCUGCUGCAUGGUGGGGGUUGGAAAGUUUCGGCGGUCGGGGAUGGACUCGCGGGUUAUCAGCUUGUUGGUGGGGUAGUGGCUUACCAAGGCUUUGACGGGUAGCCGGCAUGGGAGGGUGACCGGCGACAUUGGGACUGAGAGACGGCGCAGAGUGCUACGGGGGGCAGCAGGGGGGAAUAUUGCACAAUGGGCGGAAGCGUGAUGCAGCAACGCCGCGUGCGGGAUGACGGCCUUCGGGUUGUAAACAGCUUUCGCCUGUGACGAAGCGUGAGUGACGGUAAUGGGUAAAGAAGCACCGGCUAACUACGUG